AAGAUCUUCUGAUAUACUACCAAGUUGGCCUUUUAAUUUCAUUCUCAUUUGUACUUGGCAGUCUUGAACAUCUCUUCUAUCGUAGAGUAGACCUUACUCUACUUUUUCUCUUGUUCAGCUCUAUGUUCAUCUCUUAUGAUAAUCCUUCUCUUAUAUUGUCGUUUAGUGCUCAUCAUCAUCAUUUUAUUUUUUAAAUGAUAGUUCCUUUUAUAGCUCAUUUGAAAUCUUCCUAUUGAGAAGUGUCCGUUGGAACAUUAAAUUCUCAGAUACUUCGAUAUCUUUGAUGUUAACUUUCUGGAGCUUUGUAUCAGGGUACUUUCUGACUUAUGACUUGUCACAUCAAU
Molecule: long non-coding RNA, 344 nt
Filed under: Panax ginseng (ginseng)
Lineage: Eukaryota; Viridiplantae; Streptophyta; Magnoliopsida; Apiales; Araliaceae
Description: long non-coding RNA (PGIN_LNC010852)
Source: RNAcentral